CCUACGGGGGGCAGCAGUGAGGAAUAUUGGUCAAUGGCCGAGAGUCUGAACCAGCCAAGUCGCGUGAGGGAUGAAUGUCCUAUGGAUUGUAAACCUCUUUUGUCAGGGAGUAAAGUCACCCACGUGUGGGUUUUGGAGAGUACCUUAAGAAUAAGCAUCGGCUAACUCCGUGCCAGCAGCCGCGGUAAUACGGAGGAUGCGAGCGUUAUCCGGAUUUAUUGGGUUUAAAGGGUGCGUAGGCGGGUUAUCAAGUCAGAGGUAAAAUCGUGGAGCUCAACUCCAUCCAGCCGUUGAAACUGAGGAUCUUGAGUGGGCGAGAAGUAUGCGGAAUGCGUGGUGUAGCGGUGAAAUGCAUAGAUAUCACGAAGAACUCCGAUUGCGAAGGCAGCAUACCGGCGCCCGACUGACGCUGAAGCACGAAAGCGUGGGUAUCGAACAGGAUUAGAUACCCUAGUAGUC
RNAcentral lists this ribosomal RNA (459 nucleotides) under uncultured bacterium. RNAcentral describes it as "partial 16S ribosomal RNA". It matches the Rfam family "Bacterial small subunit ribosomal RNA", at positions 338 to 795 of the family's 1533-position model. The record is from RNAcentral.